Molecule: ribosomal RNA, 374 nt
Filed under: uncultured bacterium
Lineage: Bacteria
Description: bacterial SSU rRNA
Rfam family: Bacterial small subunit ribosomal RNA
Source: RNAcentral
ACGUAGGGUCCAAGCGCUGUCCGGAAUUAUUGGGCGUAAAGGGCUCGUAGGCGGCCUGUCGCGUCUGGUGUGAAAGCCCGUGGCUUAACUGCGGGUCUGCGCUGGAUACGGGCGGGCUAGAGUGCGGUAGGGGAGAAUGGAAUUCCCGGUGUAACGGCGGAAUGUGUAGAUAUCGGGAAGAACACCAAUGGCGAAGGCAGUUCUCUGGGCCGUGACUGACGCUGAGGAGCGAAAGCGUGGGGAGCGAACAGGAUUAGAUACCCUGGUAGUCCACGCUGUAAACGGUGGACGCUGGAUGUGGGGCCCAUUCCACGGGUUCCGUGUCGGAGCUAACGCGUUAAGCGUCCCGCCUGGGGAGUACGGCCGCAAGGCUA